Molecule: non-coding RNA, 1199 nt
Organism: Sapajus apella (tufted capuchin)
Lineage: Eukaryota; Metazoa; Chordata; Mammalia; Primates; Cebidae
Source: the annotation of a RefSeq genome assembly
UUCAAAUUAAUGGCAAGGGACACUUUUGAAACAAUUUUAAUUUUAUAUUUUGGCUUUGCAUAUAAGCCAAGUAGUAGAUAAGAUGAAAAUGCAUUGAUGAGAACUGAUGAUGAUCAUUAACUGAAAAAAAAUCUUAAACAGAAUUUCAAGAAUUUUUAUAAUAAAAAAUAAUGUGUCUAUAUAUCUACACAUUUAUAUAUGGGGGACAGAAGGAUCUAGAAAGACUGUCACUAAGAUGUUAACAGUGAUAAUCACUUUCCGGCAGUGUGUCAUGUUUUUAUUUUGCUAUUUCAUUUUCUAACUUUCUAAAACAUCAGUGCAUAACUUAUAUUAGCAAAAAUAGACGUAAAAUAUUUUAAAUGAAUACAGAGUAACUUAGUUAUAUUUAUUGAGUUAGGAUAAAAGCUUUUUUCCUGAUUAAAAAAAAAAACACGAAGUGUUUUUGCUCAGGAACAUGAAGCAGUAGCAUGAUGAUUAUGAGUCUGUGGAAGGAUCACGUCACAAGAAGGUGCAAACGGGGAAUGAAAAAGCCUCAUCCCUUUGCGACGUCAAAGCGACGAUGGGCACCAGGCUUCUCAGCUGUGCAUCCCUGUGUCUCCUGGCAGCAGACUCUUUUCAUGCCAAAGUCACACAGACUCCAGGAUAUUUGGUCAAAAGAAAAGGACAGAAAACAGAGAUGGAUUGUACCCCCGAAAAAGGACACACUUUUGUUUAUUGGUAUCAACAGAACCAGAAUAAAGACUUGAUGUUUUUGAUUUCCUUUCAGAAUGAACAAAUUCUUGAAGAAACGGAGAUGCACAAGAAGCGAUUCUUAUCUCAAUGCCCCAGGAACUCACCCUGCAGCCUGGCAAUCCUGUCCUCGGACCCAGGAGACAGGGCCCUGUAUCUCUGUGCCAGCAGUCAAUCCACAGCACUGAAAUGUCAGUUCCUCUCAGCACACAAACUUGUCAUAGACCCAGCUCAGGAAGCAGGUGAUGUAUUAGGUUGCAAGGGAGUAACAAAAAAUAACUGAAGCCAGCUUAAGCCACAGUGGAAUUCAACAAAAGGAUCAAGGGUGUUUAGCAGAAGUCAAGAAGUGAUGGGCAGACAAUUCUGAAAAGGCACCAGUAGGGUGGAGCUGUAGAAUGGCUGUCUCUCCAGCUCUGAUUUUUCUUCAGUUUUGGCUGUUGCAUGCUUUUCUCUCCCUGCACACCAUCUCU